AAUAGCUCCUGGAAACGGGUGGUAAUGCCGGAUGUUCCACAUGAUCGCAUGUGAUUGUGGGAAAGAUUCUAUCGGCGUGGGAUGGGGUCGCGUCCUAUCAGCUUGUUGGUGAGGUAACGGCUCACCAAGGCUUCGACGGGUAGCCGGCCUGAGAGGGCGACCGGCCACAUUGGGACUGAGAUACGGCCCAGACUCCUACGGGAGGCAGCAGUGGGGAAUAUUGCACAAUGGGCGCAAGCCUGAUGCAGCGACGCCGUGUGAGGGAUGGAGGCCUUCGGGUUGUAAACCUCUUUUGUUUGGGAGCAAGCCUUCGGGCUGAGUGUACCUUUCGAAUAAGCGCCGGCUAACUACGUGCCAGCAGCCGCGGUAAUACGUAGGGCGCAAGCGUUAUCCGGAUUUAUUGGGCGUAAAGGGCUCGUAGGCGGCUCGUCGCGUCCGGUGUGAAAGUCCAUCGCUUAACGGUGGAUCUGCGCCGGGUACGGGCGGGCUGGAGUGCGGUAGGGGAGACUGGAAUUCCCGGUGUAACGGUGGAAUGUGUAGAUAUCGGGAAGAACACCGAUGGCGAAGGCAGGUCUCUGGGCCGUCACUGACGCUGAGGAGCGAAAGCGUGGGGAGCGAACAGGAUUAGAUACCCUGGUAGUCCACGCCGUAAACGGUGGACGCUGGAUGUGGGGCACGUUCCACGUGUUCCGUGUCGGAGCUAACGCGUUAAGCGUCCCGCCUGGGGAGUACGGCCGCAAGGCUAAAACUCAAAGAAAUUGACGGGGGCCCGCACAAGCGGCGGAGCAUGCGGAUUAAUUCGAUGCAACGCGAAGAACCUUACCUGGGCUUGACAUGUUCCCGACGACGCCAGAGAUGGCGUUUCCCUUCGGGGCGGGUUCACAGGUGGUGCAUGGUCGUCGUCAGCUCGUGUCGUGAGAUGUUGGGUUAAGUCCCGCAACGAGCGCAACCCUCGCCCCGUGUUGCCAGCACGUUAUGGUGGGAACUCACGGGGGACCGCCGGGGUUAACUCGGAGGAAGGUGGGGAUGACGUCAGAUCAUCAUGCCCCUUACGUCCAGGGCUUCACGCAUGCUACAAUGGCCGGUACAGCGGGAUGCGACAUGGCGACAUGGAGCGGAUCCCUGAAAACCGGUCUCAGUUCGGAUCGGAGCCUGCAACCCGGCUCCGUGAAGGCGGAGUCGCUAGUAAUCGCGGAUCAGCAACGCCGCGGUGAAUGCGUUCCCGGGCCUUGUACACACCGCCCGUCAAGUCAUGAAA
This 1258-nucleotide ribosomal RNA is filed under the name Bifidobacterium bifidum. Its description in RNAcentral is "bacterial SSU rRNA". It matches the Rfam family "Bacterial small subunit ribosomal RNA", at positions 142 to 1409 of the family's 1533-position model. Lineage: Bacteria; Bacillati; Actinomycetota; Actinomycetes; Bifidobacteriales; Bifidobacteriaceae. The record is from RNAcentral.